AGCUGUGUGGCUCAGUGUAAAGAGCAAGGGCUGGGGACUCAGAGUCAUGGGUUCAAAUCCCAGCUCAGCUG
This 71-nucleotide transfer RNA is filed under the name Ornithorhynchus anatinus (platypus). It matches the Rfam family "tRNA". Rfam says of the family: Transfer RNA (tRNA) molecules are approximately 80 nucleotides in length. Their secondary structure includes four short double-helical elements and three loops (D, anti-codon, and T loops). Further hydrogen bonds mediate the characteristic L-shaped molecular structure. tRNAs have two regions of fundamental functional importance: the anti-codon, which is responsible for specific mRNA codon recognition, and the 3' end, to which the tRNAs corresponding amino acid is attached (by aminoacyl-tRNA synthetases). tRNAs cope with the degeneracy of the genetic code in two manners: having more than one tRNA (with a specific anti-codon) for a particular amino acid; and 'wobble' base-pairing, i.e. permitting non-standard base-pairing at the 3rd anti-codon position. The record is from Rfam by way of RNAcentral. Lineage: Eukaryota; Metazoa; Chordata; Mammalia; Monotremata; Ornithorhynchidae.